Molecule: ribosomal RNA, 704 nt
Filed under: uncultured fungus
Lineage: Eukaryota; Fungi
Description: eukaryotic LSU rRNA
Rfam family: Eukaryotic large subunit ribosomal RNA (bases 72-704)
Source: RNAcentral
GCUUUAAGCGUAGCAGAAUCUUUCGCUUCAAAAGUCGGGGCCCCGUCUGCCGGAAGACCUACUCGCAAGGUUGACCUCGGAUCAGGCAGGGAUACCCGCUGAACUUAAGCAUAUCAAUAAGCGGAGGAAAAGAAACCAACAGGGAUUGCCUCAGUAACGGCGAGUGAAGCGGCAACAGCUCAAAUUUGAAAUCUGGCUCUUUCAGGGUCCGAGUUGUAAUUUGUAGAGGAUGCUUCGGCGUGGGCUCCGGUCUAAGUUCCUUGGAACAGGACGUCAUAGAGGGUGAGAAUCCCGUAUGUGAUCGGUUGCCUUUGCCAUGUGAAGCUCCUUCGACGAGUCGAGUUGUUUGGGAAUGCAGCUCUAAAUGGGAGGUAAAUUUCUUCUAAAGCUAAAUACUGGCCAGAGACCGAUAGCGCACAAGUAGAGUGAUCGAAAGAUGAAAAGCACUUUGGAAAGAGAGUCAAAAAGUACGUGAAAUUGUUGAAAGGGAAGCGCUUGCAACCAGACCUGCCUGCAGUUGCUCAUCCGGGCUUUUGCCCGGUGCACUCUUCUGCUGUCAGGCCAGCAUCGGUUCGGGCGGUCGGAUAAAGGCUUCGGGAAUGUAGCUCCUCUCGAGGAGUGUUAUAGCCCGUUGCGAAAUGCGGCCAGCCUGAACUGAGGUCCGCGCUUCGGCUAGGAUGCUGGCGUAAUGGUUGUAAGCGGCC